RNAcentral lists this ribosomal RNA (555 nucleotides) under Pleurotus ostreatus (oyster mushroom). RNAcentral's name for it is "eukaryotic LSU rRNA". The stretch from base 225 to 378 matches the Rfam family "5.8S ribosomal RNA". The record is from RNAcentral. Lineage: Eukaryota; Fungi; Basidiomycota; Agaricomycetes; Agaricales; Pleurotaceae.
CUUGAUUGGGUUGUGCGAUGUCUCUAAGGAGCGUGUGCACGCCUGACACAUUUUUACCACCUGUGCACCCUUUGUAGACCUGGAACACCUCUCGAGGUAACUCGGUUUGAGGAUUGCCGCUGCUGAAAAGCCGGCUUUCCUUGCGUUCCCGGUCUAUGUCUUUAUAUACCCCAUGAAUGUAACUGAAUGUCUUUAAUGGGCCUUAGUGCCUUUAAAUCAAAUACAACUUUCAACAACGGAUCUCUUGGCUCUCGCAUCGAUGAAGAACGCAGCGAAAUGCGAUAAGUAAUGUGAAUUGCAGAAUUCAGUGAAUCAUCGAAUCUUUGAACGCACCUUGCGCUCCUUGGUAUUCCGAGGAGCAUGCCUGUUUGAGUGUCAUUAAAUUCUCAACCUUUCCAGCUUUUAUUAGCUUGGUCAGGCUUGGAUGUGGGGGUUGCGGGCUUCUCAGAAGUCGGCUCUCCUUAAAUGCAUUAGCGGAACCUUUGUUGACCAGCUCUGGUGUGAUAAUUAUCUACGCCAUUGCGAAGCAGCUUUAAUUAUGGGGUUCAGCUUCUA